GAUAAGGUGGCUGAAAUAUUAGGCUGUAAAUUGUAAAUUUAUAUAUGGUUAAUUAACCUCUUAUCA
This 66-nucleotide transfer RNA is filed under the name Parathyginus sp. Its description in RNAcentral is "tRNA-Tyr". The record is from RNAcentral. Lineage: Eukaryota; Metazoa; Arthropoda; Insecta; Hemiptera; Heterogastridae.